This 77-nucleotide transfer RNA is filed under the name Myxococcales bacterium. RNAcentral describes it as "tRNA-Ile". It matches the Rfam family "tRNA". Rfam says of the family: Transfer RNA (tRNA) molecules are approximately 80 nucleotides in length. Their secondary structure includes four short double-helical elements and three loops (D, anti-codon, and T loops). The record is from RNAcentral. Lineage: Bacteria; Pseudomonadati; Myxococcota; Myxococcia; Myxococcales.
GGGCCUGUAGCUCAGUUGGUUAGAGCGCACGCCUGAUAAGCGUGAGGUCGGUGGUUCAAGUCCACCCAGGCCCACCC